This 435-nucleotide ribosomal RNA is filed under the name uncultured bacterium. Its description in RNAcentral is "partial 16S ribosomal RNA". It matches the Rfam family "Bacterial small subunit ribosomal RNA", at positions 28 to 507 of the family's 1533-position model. The record is from RNAcentral.
GAUGAACGCUGGCGGUAUGCUUAACACAUGCAAGUCGAACGGACUCUUCGGAGUUAGUGGCGGACGGGUGAGUAACGCGUGAGAAUCUGGCUUUGGGUUCGGGACAACCACUGGAAACGGUGGCUAAUACCGGAUGUGCCGAGAGGUAAAAGAGAAAUUGCCUGAAGAUGAGCUCGCGUCUGAUUAGCUAGUUGGUGAGGUAAAUGCUCACCAAGGCAGCGAUCAGUAGCUGGUCUGAGAGGAUGACCAGCCACACUGGGACUGAGACACGGCACAGACUAAUACGGGAGGCCGGAGUGGAGAAUUUUCCGAAAUGGGCGAAAGCCUGACGGAGACAUACCGCGUGAGAGAAGAAGGCUCUUGGGUUGUACACCUCUUUUCUUAGGGAAGAACAAAAUGACGGUACCUAAGGAAUAAGCAUCGGCUAACUCCGUG